AUUGUUAGAAAAGCAACUUAAAGUUUUAAGCAAACGUAGUUUCAUUGAAACACGAUCAUCUUUCAUAAAUGCAAAAUUCAUGUUUCCAAAAAUGUUCAUCACAUUAAUAUUUUGUUCAUUCUCGUUGUAGUCAAUAAUGAGGUUUUGGAGAAUGGACAUUUAAUGUGCAUCAUCCUAAUAUAUACCAUCUCUGGGAAGAGAUUUCUUGGCUCUCUGCACCUUUUACGCGCAUGCAUUAAGAAACAAUUCAGAGAUAGCUAGCUUCACAUUAUGAUAUACGAUAUUUAGUACGCCUAAAUUACUCUUAUUCAGAAAUGGUGAGGUUAGCGCCUUUUUUUAUAAAAUCAUUCUCUUAGCCAUUUUACACAACAUAUUAGUUUUCCAAUAACUGUUUUUCCCUAAUUGAUCAAAAAAUCAUUUUCGCAGUGAAGAUUUGUGAUGAUGAAUAUCUCUAUUUCUGUAAGGUUAGACUCUAGAUUGACUCGUGUAUAGAUAAUAUACUAAAUAACGUAUCAUCAAAAUUUCAAAGACAUUGUAAGAAAAUCAAUUUAAUUAAUUAAAAUAAUUAUCACUUCAACGAUGAAAAAAUUAGACAAGGAAUAUUGUGACGAAGGUGAAAAUUUCAAAUAACUCAAAUGAAGGAAAAUAUGAGGAAGUUGGAUUAUUAUCGGGAUUUUGACAUAUAUAUAUAAAGACUUACACCGAUUCUAAACGCAUCAUAAGUCUUAUUCACGUACCCCAUGCAGCUACUAAGCGUAUUUAUUCUUUUCGUUUACCUUACAAUGGUGUCGUCGAGAACGUAUUCUUUGGGACGACCCAACGACCUCAUCACUAAAGAGAAGCAGCGAUAAAAUAUGAAGCAACGUAUUGGGUUUGGGAAUGGCUAAAUUCGAA
This is a long non-coding RNA of Bombus pyrosoma, 894 nucleotides long. RefSeq lists it as uncharacterized. The record is from RefSeq and is a predicted model, not a curated record. NCBI's taxonomy places the organism in Eukaryota, Metazoa, Arthropoda, Insecta, Hymenoptera, Apidae. The transcript has 3 exons.